GAUGAACGCUGGCGGCGUGCCUAAUACAUGCAAGUCGAGCGAACAGACGAGGAGCUUGCUCCUCUGACGUUAGCGGCGGACGGGUGAGUAACACGUGGAUAACCUACCUAUAAGACUGGGAUAACUUCGGGAAACCGUAGCUAAUACCGGAUAAUAUUUUGAACCGCAUGGUUCAAUAGUGAAAGACGGUCUUGCUGUCACUUAUAGAUGGAUCCGCGCUGCAUUAGCUAGUUGGUAAGGUAACGGCUUACCAAGGCAACGAUGCAUAGCCGACCUGAGAGGGUGAUCGGCCACACUGGAACUGAGACACGGUCCAGACUCCUACGGGAGGCAGCAGUAGGGAAUCUUCCGCAAAGGGCGAAAGCCUGACGGAGCGACGCCGCGUGAGUGAUGAAGGUCUUCGGAUCGUAAAACUCUGUUAUUAGGGAAGAACAAAUGUGUAAGUAACUAUGCACAUCUUGACGGUACCUAAUCAGAAAGCCACGGCUAACUACGUG
This 497-nucleotide ribosomal RNA is filed under the name uncultured bacterium. RNAcentral's name for it is "partial 16S ribosomal RNA". It matches the Rfam family "Bacterial small subunit ribosomal RNA", at positions 28 to 507 of the family's 1533-position model. The record is from RNAcentral.